GUGGCAUUUGACAAAAAGUAAUAACAAGCAUGGAAUAAUUUAUAGGAAUACGUUAUCUCCCCACCACGGUCACAGAAUACAAUCAGGACAUAACAUGCAAAAGAUAACUUGUACAGAUGAGUGUAUCUUGUAAUAGAGAAUUAUAUUUAGACAAAAACAUGAUACCAUGGAGCCUUUCAUUCAGUUUUUCAACACAGAGAUGAAUGUCAGGAGUGAUUUGUAACAGCAGCAAGAUUGAAAGGGAAAGUUUACGUGUUGGUGGUGAGACCUGCUAUGGUGUGUGUUUUUUGUAUAGUACCACUAACAAAAAAAAUACAGGAGGCAGAAGUGGAUGUGGCCAACUGAAAGAACAAUAUAAUGUUGUAUUGUAUUUUCUUUACUUUACUUUACUCCUUUAUUUUAAACUACUUUGACUAUUUACUGAGCUCAUUCUUUCAAUUCUUAUUUUGUGUUUUUUUUUUUUCUUUUUGGGGGGAACAUUUUAUUUUGCUGGAUCGAGCUUCAUAUUUAUUCUGCUUAUUGGAGCAUUGGAGUCAUUUAAAAAACAACAACAACAACAACAUUAAAAUGUACUCCAUAAAUAACAUUAGAAAUCCAUGAAAAAUAAACUAUGUAAGUAUAAUACAAAUGAGUUUGAAGGGGACUUGACUACCCACCAAUCACAACGCUUCUAUACUAAGCCGUUAUUAGGAGGUGGGGCUUGGCAGAUUGGCUAUUCAUCCAGAAAAUGUGAUAUUUUCUGUUUUACCUUUGCCUGUAACGCAAAUUGAAAGCAGUACUCUAGAAUCUAAAUUUGUAAUAUCAGCUUUAAAGCCCCUGUUUUUCUACAGUUAUUGGGGGGUUUCUCUUUAUGAGACACCUUCUAGAAAAUAUCUAAGCGCAAAGAUUUCUGACAUGAACCCGGACCCCAUCGGUACUAGCACACUAGGCACAGGCACUUUUGUCAUGGUGUCAUCCUGUAACUUUCAAAACCGAUGUCAGAAUAAUAAACAUACAUGUAAAAUACACAGCAGUAUAAUAUGUCUUCAUAUACAUCCAGAGAUAUUCACACAAAUCUCUUAAAGCCAUCCGUUG
Molecule: long non-coding RNA, 1074 nt
Organism: Astatotilapia calliptera (eastern happy)
Lineage: Eukaryota; Metazoa; Chordata; Actinopteri; Cichliformes; Cichlidae
Source: Ensembl